RNAcentral lists this transfer RNA (96 nucleotides) under Geobacter sp. OR-1. RNAcentral's name for it is "tRNA-Thr". Lineage: Bacteria; Pseudomonadati; Thermodesulfobacteriota; Desulfuromonadia; Geobacterales; Geobacteraceae. The record is from RNAcentral.
UCGGCCAGCACGAUGUUGGCAAAGAUCGGUCCUUUUCUGGUGGAGAAGUGGCCAUCGCGGGGGUUGUAGAUCUGGGUCCCGACCAGGUCGGCCGGG